This 530-nucleotide ribosomal RNA is filed under the name uncultured eukaryote. RNAcentral describes it as "SSU rRNA". It matches the Rfam family "Eukaryotic small subunit ribosomal RNA", at positions 568 to 1117 of the family's 1831-position model. The record is from RNAcentral.
CAGUUAAAAGCUCGUAAUUCCAGCUCAAAAGCGUAUAUUAAAGUUGUUGCAGUUAAAAAGCUCGUAGUUGAAGUUCUGGCUGUAUUGGGCCUCUGCACUUGAUGCGAAGGAACCAGCAGUCAUCCGCUUGCAAAUACAUGUUCUUCCUUAACCGGUAGACUGUAUAAGUAAGCAAUUUACCUUGAGAAAACAGAGUGUUCCAGGCAGGUUUGUCCGGAAUGCAUUAGCAUGGAAUAAUAGAAUAUGACUAGAGUCGAUUUGUUGGUUAAAGGCUUUAGUAAUGAUUAAUAGGAACAAUCGGGGGCAUUGGUACUCGUCAGUCAGAGGUGAAAUUCUAAGAUUUGACGAAGACUAACUGAUGCGAAAGCGUUUGCCAAGAAUGUUUUCAUUAAUCAAGAACGAAAGUUAGGGGGAUCAAAGACGAUUAGAUACCGUCCUAGUCUUAACUAUAAACUAUACCGACUCGGAUUCAGAUGAAUAUUAAAGUUCAUUUGGGACCGUAGGAGAAAUCAUAAGUUUUUGGGUUCUGG